RNAcentral lists this ribosomal RNA (823 nucleotides) under uncultured bacterium. Its description in RNAcentral is "partial 16S ribosomal RNA". It matches the Rfam family "Bacterial small subunit ribosomal RNA", at positions 56 to 879 of the family's 1533-position model. The record is from RNAcentral.
UGCAAGCCGAGCGGUAGGGUUUCUUCGGAAACCUGAGAGCGGCGCACGGGUGCGGAACACGUGUGCAACCUACCUUUAUCAGGGGGAUAGCCUUUCGAAAGGAAGAUUAAUACCCCAUAAUAUAUUAGAUGGCAUCAUUUGAUAUUGAAAACUCCGGUGGAUAGAGAUGGGCACGCGCAAGAUUAGAUAGUUGGUGAGGUAACGGCUCACCAAGUCAGUGAUCUUUAGGGGGCCUGAGAGGGUGAUCCCCCACACUGGUACUGAGACACGGACCAGACUCCUACGGGAGGCAGCAGUGAGGAAUAUUGGACAAUGGGUGAGAGCCUGAUCCAGCCAUCCCGCGUGAAGGACUAAGGCCCUAUGGGUUGUAAACUUCUUUUAUACUGGGAUAAACCUACUUACGUGUAAGUAGCUGAAGGUACAGUAUGAAUAAGCACCGGCUAACUCCGUGCCAGCAGCCGCGGUAAUACGGAGGGUGCAAGCGUUAUCCGGAUUUAUUGGGUUUAAAGGGUCCGUAGGCGGAUCUGUAAGUCAGUGGUGAAAUCUCAUAGCUUAACUAUGAAACUGCCAUUGAUACUGCAGGUCUUGAGUGAGAUUGAGGUAGCUGGAAUAAGUAGUGUAGCGGUGAAAUGCAUAGAUAUUACUUAGAACACCAAUUGCGAAGGCRGSUYACYRRRYSWYWRYUGACGCUGAKGKRCGAAAGCGUGGGGAGCRAACAGGAUUAGAUACCCUGGUAGUCCACGCCGUAAACGAUGMWRACUMGCUGUCCGGGCACUUGGUGCCUGGGUGGCGCAGCUAACGCAUUAAGUCUUCCGCCUGGGGA